This 343-nucleotide ribosomal RNA is filed under the name uncultured bacterium. Its description in RNAcentral is "bacterial SSU rRNA". It matches the Rfam family "Bacterial small subunit ribosomal RNA", at positions 9 to 353 of the family's 1533-position model. The record is from RNAcentral.
GAGUUUUGAUCCUGGCUCAGAUUGAACGCUGGCGGCAUGCUUUACACAUGCAAGUCGAACGGCAGCAUGGGGGCAACCCUGAUGGCGAGUGGCGAACGGGUGAGUAAUAUAUCGGAACGUACCCGAGAGUGGGGGACAACCAGUCGAAAGAUUGGCUAAUACCGCAUACGAUCUACGGAUGAAAGUGGGGGACCUUUGGGCCUCACGCUCCUGGAGCGGCCGAUAGCUGAUUAGCUAGUUGGUGGGGUAAAGGCCUACCAAGGCGAUGAUCAGUAGCUGGUCUGAGAGGACGAUCAGCCACACUGGGACUGAGACACGGCCCAGACUCCUACGGGAGGCAGCA